Molecule: long non-coding RNA, 12932 nt
Organism: Lagopus muta (rock ptarmigan)
Lineage: Eukaryota; Metazoa; Chordata; Aves; Galliformes; Phasianidae
Exons: 4
Source: RefSeq, a predicted model, not a curated record
GUUUGAUUUUGGAACUUGGCGCUGGUUUUACUGGAGAUAGAAGAGCACCCACAAGCAGAGAAUGAAACAUCCCAUCCCCAGGCAGAGCUGUAACGGGAGAAAGGAGUGAAAGGAAGCCUGACCUGCUGGAAAACUGGGACAAGUCCUGCAGACAACAAUCAGCCUUCCAAACAAAGGCAUUAGAAGUCAUGCUAUGCCUUUUUAUGAAAGAAUCGUCAUAACAGCACACAUUUUAAAAGAACAGCAAGCAGUGCAGGAGUGCUCGUUACUAACCUGUAUGCAGUUUAUCCUGAAGGACUGGAUCCAUUAAGGCUUGCAGAACACUGAAACUUGCUCUUGCUGCACUGUAUGCUGACACAUAACUCAGAGAGGCAUACGCUGCUAUCUGAUAUUGCACGUGCGUUCUUCUUCAAAAUCUGGAACGGGAUGGCUUCAGUUCUCAAAGAGAAACAAAGUUCACCACAGCUAUGGAAGCACUGGCAAGUGAAGCAGGCACAGACCAGCUACGAGGUCAUCACAGCUGGAUGCAGACACCACGUGAUGAAUAACAAGGAUGUCUACCAGAACUCAGAAUUCAGAUGGGUGACCUGAGAACAGGUACCUGUGUGCCGUCACAGUUUUGUGCAGCUUUGAAAAGGAAAGAGCACAUCAAUCACAUUUUUCCUCUCUUUUGACCCGUAUUUCCCACUUAUCUCAAGCAUCUUUACAUUUUCAAUUUAGCAUAAGUCUAUGUAAUCUGGUCCUCAGAACUUUCCACCUACUGCCUUUGAGAAGGAAUAAUCCACAGCCACUUCCCUUUAAUACCAAGCAGUUGCAGUGUAACACUUUUCAGGCUUUGAUUCCUACAGAGGAAAGUAGGAAAGGAUGUUUUUAAGUUAUAAAUACACCAGACAUCAUCACUAAUUCUUCUGCCCUUCCCAUAGAUCGUGGGAAUUUUAUUCAAGUUGGAUAUUUUCUAGUGAUAAGAAGGGAAAUAGGAUUCAUCCUUCAAUUACUACCACCUUCCCUGGCUUUUCCUCAUUUCUGCACAAAACACACAAAUCCAAAACAAGUGACAACACACUUGCUCUAUUAAGAAUAAAACCUCAGCAUCUCCUCUGUGCUCACUCUGAUCCCAUACAUCCCCUGUUUCAUUCAUCACUGAUAAUUACAUUUUACGCUGCUAAUUUGUCUAAAAUUAUUUCACUUUUUUUCCUUCUAAAUAAAGGCUGGCACGUAGGUAGCAGUGAUAACUGACGCAACCACGAAAGAUUGCUUUUCAUAAAUAGUGAAUACAUUUGUCAGCUGUAAAUGAAACUGCAAAGAUAACUCUGCAGCUUUAUUUGCCUUUCUCACUUAAUAUGCAGUAGUUUGUAUAUCCUACUCUAUCUCCAUGUUCUUCAAAGCUCCACCUUUGUAUUUUUUAAUGCCUUAGUUUUCCACACUUUUUCACUGUUAACUGUCCUUAACCACUGUUCUCUUCAUGCCUUUCUCUCACUGUUAGAUUUAUAGUUAUUUCCCAUGGUAGCCAGGAGGCUCUCAUUUUUUACCUUGUGUUUCCCCAGACACCAUCUUCACUUACUUCCAGCUCACUUUCUCCAUGAAUCAUUCAAAAGUUGAUCUACUCGCUAGUGCCAUGUUUUUUCACACUGGGGUCAGAUUUGUUGUCUUUCCUAGGACUUGCUUUGGAAGACUGCAAAGCUCCCACCUGGGGUAAUUGGGAGGUAAAGGAGCUCAAACAGGCAGAAGCAUAGUCUGAAGACCACAUUUAGCCUAUGUAACCCACGGCAGUCUUAAGUUUCCUACAUGUUUAUCAUUUCUUCUGUAAAUUGCUACAUUCUUUGAUGAAACUUCAUAAAUAAUGUAUCUUAACUGUAGUUGUCAGCAUGUAUAAUCUUUUAAAAGAGUCAGAUUUGCAGUAUUUAAAAAUAAUUUCCUCACAGCAGAAAAUACAAGGCUUCUAGCUAUUCAGAUUUUUACAAUUAUUUGUCUUUUGCAAGAAGGUAAUAAUACAAAAGUAACAAUGCAUGCAAAACAAAAGGAAUACAUCCAAAGCACCCUUUGCCCAAACAGAAUAGAGUCUCCCUGGAGAGCAUAUUAACCAAAAUAUAUUACAACCUACCAUUAUUUGGUUCAGAAUAUAUGCAUCUAAUUAGGCUUAAGGCAAAGGAGAAGUAUAUAAUUUUAUGCAAAAAAAGCAAAACAACAAACUGCUUGCUGUUGUAUGUGCCAGUACUGCUGCAGCUGCUACAGAGCAGCAAGGCAGUAUCCGAGGGGGACUGCUUGCUUCUCAGCUGCAAGAUGCCUGCUGCAGUAACUGCUGUAUCAAGUUCCCACUGCUUAAGGCAGAGGGAAUGAAACCCUGGGGCUAACCAAACUUUUUUCUGCUACUACAUGAAGUGUGCAUCUCAGUGAUCUUGUUUACUUCUUUGGUUCAACAGGACAAAGAAAAUGCACUGAUACUUGGCUGAUUGCACUAAAUAGAAACAAUAAAGGUAAGGCCAAAUUAUAAACUUGUACAGGGUGAAAAAAGUGGAAGAUUUUGCCCAUGUACCCUCCCUCAUGCCUCAGGAUAGCUCUCCUGGAACAAAAGAUGCACACUGUGUCCUCAAAGGUACGUCACUAAAAGAGCAAGGAGGAGAGCAGAGAAUUUAGGGAGGAACCUCAUUUUACUGGGCAGUUAUCAAACCUGUAAGUAGUGCAGAAAUGUUAUUCCUGCUCUUCACUAAGUUAAGUACAAUUAUAGGACAGGAAAUGUGGAGAACAGCAGAUGAGAGUAAUAGUAGCACAUAUUACAGCACAAGCAUUGAGUUGAAUCUAAAGAGAGUUAUUUCCCUAAUGAAUAAAUAGUGCAGACCAAAACUUUUUGGUUUUAUUAUUUUCUGAUGACAAAAUUACUUAAAGAAAUGAAGAGAUUCACAGACUAGUAAGAAUGGAUCAAAAUUUACUGUUCACUACUAUUAAAUUACCUCCUUGCGACUGAUAUUUAAUAUUACAAUUCUCCAAAAUGAUGAAGGUUUGAAGAAAUAGUAAUUAUCUAUUAAAAAAAAAAAAGUACAUCUGUUAGAAAAGGUUUCCUAAAGGACACUAUUAAAUGGUUUUCUCAAACUUUGGAUAAAUGAAAUUUUGAAUUCUGAUCUCUUUCCAACAUCCAGCAAUUUAUGCUCUUGUUCACACUCAAACCCUCCUCUAAUGGCCUCAGUAGUCGUGCAAAACUCAUCAGUUAGGAUCUCCAAUGCCUUUGGCUUUUCUCUUUGAGCCAUCUAGGCCAUGCAAAGGAGACGGAAAGCCGAAGAUCCAACCUGCUGGUCAUCUGAUGGCUGGUCUCAAACUCCUGAGCGCUCCUGGAAUAUGGGAAUAUCCCAGAUGGACUGGAGACAUCAGUGAUGCAGGACUGGCAGAGAAACUCCUGUGUGAGUUAUGCUGUUCGGGACAGCUAAGGCAAAAAGUUGUGGAGGAAGAUUCAUCCCUGUUUGUCAAGAGUGGGUCAGGCAUAAAAUGGCUCUUUGUUUUUUGAAGCUGCCAAUAAUCUAUGUAUAUUUUAGUGCUUACUUGCAAGUUAACUACAAAAACAGCUAGAGGUCCAGGAAAACAACUUCCAGAAGAGAGUAUGCACUUCUGGCAUUUGUUUGUGUGGUACUUUAUUCUUCAGAGCAUUUCAAGUGCUCUUCCCACAAACAAAUGGACUCUAUUUUAUGAAUAAUACUCUAAGGGGACAUUCAAUUCUUGUCUUUCACAUAUCAAAUUCAAUUCUUUUUUCUUCUUUUGUUUGUUGUCAUUUAAUAAAACAAAGAUGGAGUCAGUAGUUUUCAAGUGGAGACAUCUGGGAAAUACUGGCAAUUGAAAUUUAUGCUAAUUUAGAGUAAGGUUGGCAGGGUGGCUUGUCUCCAGUCAGCAGUGUUCCUAGAAACCAAGCUUUAGGAAAAAUAGUGUUCUUAUUUUGAGACAGAACAUGGUGAAAGACGACCUUGUGCCUUCCAUUUCCUAUUGAUCAUAUGAUACCGACCCAUCUAUGUCAGCAAACAUCUCUUACUGAGACAAACGCACUGCAUUGAACAGUAGUUAGGUACUAGGAGAGUAAUGAAAAAAAUAAAUCACAUGGCGAAAGCUUAGAUCUCAUUUUUACUGGAACACUGGCUUAUAUGAUCAACUUCAAGAUCUUUCUGGUAAUUAUGAAAUUAUUAACUAUUAAACGUGGUUUUGUUCUAAUAAUUGCCCUUGAAGAACUUGGUACAGUUAUCGGAAACAGCAUGGAUACAAUGGAAAUGCUAAGAUAUGAACAAUGCUCAGUCAGAUGGCUUAUUUCAGGAACCAAGACUGAAUGACCUCUGAUCAGUACCUGGGGAUCAGACUUUACUGUAGGUGUCCUUUUUUUCCUAGCUUAGGAAUUAGGAAAUCCAAAUUUGAACAAAUUCUUCCUGGAAUGCACUCUUAAGUUCAAGUGAGAGCAAUAGUCAUGCAGGCACUGAGGUUACUAAUAGGUGCCUUCAAGAUGGAUAAAGAAUCACAUUCCUGAAACAUUAUUUGAAGAAAAAAAAGGUAUCCCUUCAGAAGCUGAAUGCUAUUAAAACAAAAAAAUGCAUGUUUUUCAACUAACUGCUAAUAUUCUCUAUUUAAAUACAGUUUUACAUUCUGUAGGAUACAAUUAUUAAUACUGUAAUUAAAAAGAGAAGUGAACAGUCUAGCUGAGGCCUGUUUUUAUGCAGGAGGUUAGUAGUGUAAUGAAAAAUAAGCACACCUCACUUAAUUACGGCAAUAAAAUGCUUUCUUCUGCUUAGCCGACAGCAAUCAGAUGCAUACAACAAAACACAAUUAUGCAGAAACCGCAGAAGUCACCAUACUGUGCAGUAACAUCACUGUGAAAUACUCUGACUUCCUUUUUGAAGGAAUGGAAAAGCUGCAGCAAAUAACUGGGCUGUACUGAGUCUGUCUGCUUCAGCAAUGGAUGCUGUUCCUCUAAGGUACGCUGUAGAAGAUGCUCAUUUUUGUGAGAACAAGCUGAGGUACAUAAGCCAUUAUCAGCUAACAGAAAACCACUGACCUUUGGAUAAAUCCUUAUAGCCCAGAGGGAACACUGACAAUCCAGCCAUGCCAUCAGCUAGGCACUGGCCUGAUCCUGUGCAACUGCACCAAGUCUUGGUAAGAAACUGACAACGUCUCUUAAGCAUGCAGAAUGCCCAAGAGAGACUGCAUUCCCUGAAAUUCCAACACAAAAGGAAUUUAAAAUUAUACUGAUUAUUUCUGUAGUGAGAAACCUUCUAGAAAACAUGCAUUAUUUAAUAACUUACAUUGAAAACCAUAAGCUCUUUAUUUCUUGUAUUCACUAUUAACAUGAUUGCCUGUUUGUGAUCAGUUAAGAACACAAUAUUAUUUUCACAACACACAAUAAUUACUGUACAAUCAGAGACAUGGGCCAUAGCUGGGGAAGAAAUCUGCACCACGUCCUUACAUACAUUACAUUUUAAUACUGGCUCCUAAGUUCAUUCCCAGGCUAAAAAAGCUAAAUUCAUAGAAGUGAAGUGCUGUCUCGAGUACAUUCUUGCACUAAGUCAGCACUGUCCUCUUCCAGCUAAUUUCACUAAUGUGGAAUAACACGUUCUGACUUCAAAAGCCGAUCCUCUGCACACGAGGCACGCAGGACCAAGUGGGAACAGCCUGGAGUACUGCAGUGCACAGCCCUGCUCCAAAUCAUUUUUGUCCACAGCAUCCCUUUCUUUUGCUCCCCUGGUUACUACUCCCUCUGUUCUGGAGCUCAUUUGUCUCCUCCUCUCCUCACUGGAUCAAAUCCUCUUGUCACCAUCUAUUGUGCUGCCCGCCCACUUCCAUCACUGUCAUCUCGCACCGCUCCCUGACGCAUUUGUUAAAUAUAAGUUUAAUUAGAAAGCGUUCAUUGGAAACAAAUGAAAAAGCCUAAAAUUAGAAUUGGACAGAGAUUGUCUGAGAUUUAAAAAGUAAUACUAUUACAUGAUAUGCCUUUAUUGCUAAGCAAUAUCUUACUUUUAUGCACUGAUGAUGAAAUUAAUCCAUGCAGGGGCUGGCACGUACCACCUUCAAUUUGAGAACCACAUAACUACUUUCAGCUGAGCUCCACAGUAAGUAUGGACCAAAGUAAGUAAGAAAUACUAUUUUGUUACGAAGCAAGAAUUGUGGGAAUGCAUUAAAACAACACCCAUUCAGCCUGUUACUAAAGACACUGUAACUACACCUGAGUUAAAGAAGGGCUUUACUUAUAGACAGACAUGACUUCAGGACCAGUAUAUUGUAACAGUUGUCAAACGUUCCUAGAAACUAGGAGAGAUGCCUUUUUUCCAUAGUAAAUCUGAAGAAAAAUAAAUUCACUAAUUCACCGUGUACCAAAAUUAGCAUAUUUAUUUUAUCCUAAUUGUGAAAGAUUCCAACAGAAUAAUUGUACCAACCACUAACAGGAGCCAAAAUCACCAUCCCCAACUUCCGUUCAUGAUAUACAUGCUUCAUGGGAUAAGAUGACAGAUUCAGUACGAGAUGUAUAUUUUGUACCUCAUUUGGGUCUCCUUCAUAAGCACCAAGCAAUUAUGUUUUGCUAUUGCAAAUUCUCAAAAUACACUUCUGAAAUCUUCCUAUUCCACUCUUGGCAAUCAACUUCUCCCGUGCCUCUUCCCAUUUCAGUUUUCACAUUUGUGCACCACAUUCACCAUGUAUGUCUAAGUAACUCUGCUAGCCCUCAGCUUCUCACUCCUACCUACUGAAAAGAAGUGAAAAAAAUGUGCCAACUGAAGGAACUGACAGAGCAGCACAUUGCCCCUCCUAUGCAAGAUGAGCACUGAUGGCUUCAGCAUGCAUUGACAUUCUAAGCAAAGGAAAUUAGCAUUAAUCCACUCUCAGGGUGCUCCUAAUUGUAUAGCCAUGGAAAAUUAACUCAGCAUUAACUGCACAAACAGCUUUGGUUGUGCUUCCUGCUGAAAUGGUUACCUAAUUUUUUGGUACCUGAAAUGAGGAGAUAGUUACUCCCUGAUGGUGUGCAGAUACGUGCACCCCAACAGACAUCUGGGCACCCUCCUCUCCUGACAACCAGCAUCCUGGGCUGACCUGUGCUGGCGGGUCAAAAACAGCCUGGAGUUUGAGGCACUAUCUGGAAUUGAGAACAUAUGGGUUCAAUUCCUGUCUCUGACUUCUUUGAUUGGGAGCAAUUUGCAUGCAACAAAACUGAGAAGUAUUUCUGUUUUCUUCUCCCUCAUGUCAAGGACGUUGUACUGUAAUUAAUUGUCAGUACAUGUAAAAAAAGUCUAAUCAUUAUGUCAACAGAAAUUAAGAUGAGGGAACUUAGGAAGUACCUACCAUCCGGCACAGUUGUUGGUUCUACAGAGUUUUGACUGUUGUUUCCACAGUUACUGAGAAAAAGUAUGGGAAGAGGCACCAAGUCAUUUAAUUUUUUCAUGGCUGGGUCACAGUAUGAACUGAACACGUGCAAAGACUUCUAAAGAUUUGUUCCUUAAUGAAGUCUUCUUAUCAGAGAUGCUGGAAAUUUACUUAACAAGUCUGUCCUAAUCUUGUUAGAGCAUCUCCAUUUUAUGGUAUAAUAAUAUCACUUACUUGUUUUUCAUUAUUAAAAUGUUUUGAUUAGAAAGUCAGUACAGACAGUGCCUAUUCAAAAGCUGAUUCAUCUUUUCUCAUUAAAGGUAAGUGAAUGGAAAAGGAAUAAAUUGCUUUUCUAGCGGCAGCAACAGAGUUCUAAAAUCUAGGUCACAUUAAAGAACUCUUAAAUAGGGUUUACACGUUGACUUGUCUUUCUCAUUGCUGUGAAACACUGGGAAUAAAAUACAUGUUCAAUCACCAGUAAAUUAGCUAGCAAUUUGUUCACAUACUAUCCCUUCAUGAUACUUUAAAUAGUUUUUCUUGUAAUGUGAUCAGACGAUGAAAUUAUUCUGUCCUUCUAAGUAUCACCUCUUAUGUAGCUUCCCAGCUUGUACAUAACUGCAAUUUGCAAUGUUCUGAUUCUUGGACAUGAAUUUAAACCUGGAAAGAGGAACACGUGUACCAGCCUAAGAGCUUUUGUAUGCUGUAUCUUAAAGCAAACAAACUGAUUAGUCCAUUUUAUUUCCCAUAGGAAGGUCUCAAUUCCUAUAGCAUAAUGCAAUGUUGACGAACUGGAAAGAAUCCAGAGAAACAAAAGAAUGAUAAAACAGCAAGAACAGCAAAAAAUGAGCAAACUGGUAUUAGGGGCUUAUUUUGGGAACGGAAAAUUCAAUGUGAAAUAAUAUCUUCAAAUAUAUUAAAAGGUACCACAAAGAAGAACGUACUAGGAUGUUUUCAAUAACCACUGGGAUGAAGAAAAGCAGCAAUGGACUUAAACCACAAUGAGGAUUUAGGCCAAAGGAAAAGCCUCCUAAUGGCAAAGAUAAUUAAGCAUGGGAAUCGUUUGUCUAGAAAAGCCAGAAAGCAGAAUAUGUUUGACAAACACCUCUGGAUUCAUGUAGGUGUAAUUGCUGAAGGCAGGCAGGUGCUCUACCUAAUUGCUGGAGAUUCUUUCUAGCCAUGUGUUUUCAGAUUCAUUGGUACUGUUCCAAGUACUUGUCUAGUUUUGGAAGCGUCUGUGUGAUUUACAUUACAUAUACAUAUUUCUUCUGCUUCCCAUUCACAAGGCAUUUUUAUACCUCAAAUUCACAGAAGUAAUGCAUGUGCAUUACGUUAUGUACCACACAAGUCUUCACUUGUCUCCUUCCAAGUAUUUACUGUAAAAUCAAAUCCAUCCUGGCCAAAGAAACAGACUUUAUGGCUUUUUUUAGGUUGCAAGAUAGCACCUCAACACACACCCCAUCAAUCACAUUAAAACUGAACAGAAAACCCUAAAGCAAAACUGAGAGCUUUUGCUGUCUGCUGCCUUUCUAGUCAACCAUUAAACCCCAACGUGGCCUCACUAGGCUUUUUUAUUUAUUUAACACUAUAGACACGGCUUUUAAGUUCAGGUAUUUCCAUAAUGAGCACUGUUUUCUAUCAAGAAGAGCAGGACACCAGAAUACCAGUGCUGCUAAUUAACAAAUGUAACCUCUACACCUUCAAAGCACACAGCAUGGAUUUUAAGAUUACUACUUUUGCUAGUCAAAAACAAUGGGAGCUGUAUAGAUGCUUUAAGGACAUAUGUUGUAUAAUUUAAUAGGUCUCCUCAUUUCUGAUUUGAGUAAGUCACUGAAAUAUUUAUGGCCUUACCAGAACAGUGAAUGUACAGUUAUCUCUUCAGUUGUUAUUAUGCUGCUCUUUCUCAAGCAGCUCUUUCAUUCAGGAAGAAAAGGUACAUUCCGAGUUUAUUAGCUGGAACUGUAUUAAAGCAAUGUUGUCCUCCCAAUGCAGAAGUGUCCCUAGAAGGACACCUCACAGGGAAUUAUUUUCUUGCUCUGACACUGAAAAAAUAAAAACAUAGCAGCAGGAGCAAGUGCCAGCAAUCUGAAAAUAUUUGCAGGGUCAAUGGAAGGGAAGAAUUUUGAUACUUGGGCUCUGCAAAUGCAUCUUUAAUACCACUACGCUAAUUACUAAGAGUCAAGUUAGCCACAGUGUGCCUGUCUCACAAUUACAGCUAGAUACCAAUGCACAUAAAUCAAAAAGGCAGGGGGAAACACCCAGUGCUUACCUAUUAACUUCUCCACAACUUUCCCAAUCAGCUAAGCCAAACAGCUGUACAAAAUUACACCACUGCCAUAUCCUUAAUUUUAAGAACAAAACUAAUACAGUAUAUGGCAUUAAUUUGACUGUAAUAAAUAUACUGAGGCUGUAAUGUGUAAUUAAAAAGAACAUGAAUAUUUAGCAGUAUUAACUAUUCUCAAAUUAGCAACUGCUGUUUGAGAAGACUUGCUACUUUUCCUUGUAGCUCUGCCACAUAACUGUGUCAAAGGAAUGAGAAGGGACAACUAACAGCUUGCUAAACAUGGAGCUGUGUUGGCAACUUACCAUAAUGUAGUUCAAAAAGUAAACAGAAGAAAUUGAGGGAUUCCAUAUUUUAGCUGUUAAUACCUGAGAUGUAAGACUUCAUCUGUGGUCCAGAAAGUAACAGCAACUUCACUACCAAAAGAACAAACACCCAUGGCUGCUGAUCACCAGCUCUUCCCAUUGCCUUCUUUUUAUGUGCAAUCAGCAUACAAGGAAAAUGAACGCAAAAAGUGGGCAACUGAACCCCUGCCUGUAGGAUCUUCAUAAGUGAAUGCAUAAUGCCUACAGCGGUACCUGGGGAGAUCAAAACCAGGGCAGCAGGAUUUUUGAAGAUAUGUCUUUGGAGAUACUUCUAGUGAACUUCCAAUGACGGCCAGAUCCCAGGCAGGAAAAGAGAUUAAAGGAAAAUGGUGUCAAGAAAUAGCUCAAGAUAUGCUGCUUUAGUGCCUGUGAUCAGAGAAGCAGGGUUCUGAGCACGUAGCAGAUACUGAUGGCUAGGAUUAUAUCAACAAGGGCAAGACUGUAUUUUUUAAUAGAAAAGUCAGAGGCAGGGUGAGGAAAUUAGCAGUCAGAAUACUUGAAUGCUGUGUUAUUCUGCUGAACGUUUCAAAAUGCUCACUGCCUGCUGCUGUAUGAAGAGAGAAGUAUGUUCCAGAGCUAAUCAGAUUUUUGCCAUUAUCAGUAGCAAGUAUAUUUCUUUUUAAAUUUUGUAAUAGGAAAGAAGUUGCUUUCUCCAGUUUUUUCUUUACCAUAUGGACUACUAAGUGCAGCAGCAGCUACUUUUAAAUGUUACGGUUCCUUUGCUGAGGCAUUAUGAUCCUUUGUAAGAUGAAAGUAAUUUUCUUUGUGUCUUAAGGAGAUGCUAUUCUGCAAAGCAGAAAGGCCUCCCAAGACUUACUGCCUAAAAAUAGCUAACAGCCUUUCAGGAAGAUGAAGAACGAAUCUUUCAAGAGACGUGCUUGAUUAUUCUGUUUAUUACUCUGAUUUGCAUUUCUGGAACUGGAGGAUCCUGUAGUAGUAAGCACUGUAAAACAAAGGGGUUUGGUUUUGUUUGUUUUAUACAGAAUCCUGGCUUAAAUCACCAAACUGACAUCACGUAGCUGUCAUUCAGCCUACCAAGCUGAAAACUGCUCUGCAGCAUCAUUACAGACAAAGCAAUGUGUACUUGGAGAGUUUCAAGAAUACACUGAACUUCUUUUAAACCUCUUCCCCCAGGCAAAAUGUGAAGCUAUUGUGCAACAGAGGUCACUCUGUGCAGCUAGCUCAUGCAUAUGCCAUUUUGUUCUGGAUGUCAAGGAGGAUUUUUAACAAGGAAAUCAGUUUCCAUUUAGAAGAACACUCUACACCUAGACGUGUUUCACAUCUACUAUAAAUAAAGUAAAAAUUAAAGGGUAUAAUGAUGAAUGUCCAGCAGUAGAUUUUUAUCCACUUAGCAAUCUCAGAAGUAUUCAAUCCAGUUCUAUAAGAACUCAAUAACAAAUUUUAAUUUGGAGGCACUUGUCUGGAUAAAAAGGAAGUCUUCUAAGUAGUGCCUACAGUCCUUUUUUCUUUAAUGUAUGAUAUUUAUGAAAUGCUACAUACAUGAGAGCCCUUUUUAGGACAGCACAUCUGCAAGAAAUCAGAAGAUCACACAGAGAAUGUGCUGUGAGAAUCUGGCCUAGAAGGCUGCAGACAGAAUGCCAGUUCCUGUGCUGUAACUAUUUGUCUUCUUUUUUCUUUUGUUUGAGAGAGGAAAGCCUUAAAGCUUUAAUCUCACACACAAGCUCAUCACAUCCCAAGUCUAUCUGUAAUGCUCUCCAAAUGAGAAUGAACUCGGAAGGAUGAUGCUCAAUCUUUAAAUCCUUCUCUGCAGAGCUGUUUUCAACUUACAGGUUCAUACAAGGGAUCCUUGCUGUGGCUCUAGAACUUUCUGACGUGUCCUACCUGUUAUGCUUGACAACCACACGGUAGAAUUCAAUUGCAUUUAGGACUAAAAGUUUUCCUUGCAUGAUUUCCUGUGUAGUGCGAUAGAAACAACUUAAUGUGACAGCACACUUCCAUUGUCACUGGUGGAAAACAAAUUCCCCUCCCUCCUGGCCACUGUUAUUAACUCCAAAGCAAAGAGCAUGUGCAAAAGGCAAAGGAAAAAGAACAAAUGUAAAAACUGGAUCCGCUGCUACCAAACUGCCAGCCCACCAAAACAACACACAUGCUAACAGAAAUAACACAAGGAAAUGCCCCGUGCAUUUUCCUAGAAGAAUAUUUAAAGAUUCCAAAAAACUCCGUGACUUCAUUAUCAUUCAAAUAUCACUGUUACAAAGUCUUAUUUACUUUUUUGUUCUUUGUUUACACUGUUUAUUUCUGAAGAAGUCACACUGUUACAUGACUCAGGGAAUUAGCAAACACAUUCAAUUUACUUAAAUAGGGUAAUUACUACUACACUCAGCUGACAUUAAUAGCCUUUAUGCAAUGAACUGCCCUGUGAUGUGUGCUUAAAAUAAAGGAAAAUAUGCAUGUAUAUUUUAAGAGCAUUAAGAAGGAAGAACACUUGUAACUCCAGACAUAUAAAAGCUUUUCAUCUUCUACUUUCUGUAUUUUUCUGAAGUACUGUUUGAAUCUUAAGCUACCAGAAUGAAGGCAGCUCUGUAGUCUCAGAAAUGAAAAUGAAAUGAAAAAAUAAUACAGUGUAUAAAUUCUUCUGGGUGAGACAGACCACAAAAAAGCCACCAAAACAACCAUGAGAGAACAAUGCACUUGAAGGAGUUAAUGUUAUGGUAAGGUUAGGGCUGGAAAUACUGACAGGAUAGGAGCAGCAGCCCCUAGCCUGCUUUGGUAGGUCUUCUGUCAUUCUGAAAGACAGUGCAUUCUGGUAACCAUACCCACACCACACUCUGAACACAGUGGGAACAGAACCCAUACUCAGGAGCCUUUUUCCACACUUGGGAAAAAACAAACAAGGCGACUGCUGAAACUCAUCAUGCUCAAUUACUGAGCAAGAUGCUAAAGCUCCAGCAUUUAAUGAAAGAAAUGAAGUGCUUAUGUGCAUGUAUACAAGUGUACACACACACAGGCAUGCA